UUUGAUGGCGACCGGCGCACGGGUGAGUAACACGUAUCCAACCUGCCGAUAACUCGGGGAUAGCCUUUCGAAAGAAAGAUUAAUACCCGAUGGUAUAAUCAGACCGCAUGGUCUUGUUAUUAAAGAAUUUCGGUUAUCGAUGGGGAUGCGUUCCAUUAGGCAGUUGGUGAGGUAACGGCUCACCAAACCUUCGAUGGAUAGGGGUUCUGAGAGGAAGGUCCCCCACAUUGGAACUGAGACACGGUCCAA
This 249-nucleotide ribosomal RNA is filed under the name uncultured bacterium. RNAcentral describes it as "partial 16S ribosomal RNA". It matches the Rfam family "Bacterial small subunit ribosomal RNA", at positions 84 to 334 of the family's 1533-position model. The record is from RNAcentral.